RNAcentral lists this ribosomal RNA (321 nucleotides) under Streptomyces coelicoflavus. RNAcentral's name for it is "bacterial SSU rRNA". It matches the Rfam family "Bacterial small subunit ribosomal RNA", at positions 1 to 321 of the family's 1533-position model. Lineage: Bacteria; Bacillati; Actinomycetota; Actinomycetes; Kitasatosporales; Streptomycetaceae. The record is from RNAcentral.
CAUUCACGGAGAGUUUGAUCCUGGCUCAGGACGAACGCUGGCGGCGUGCUUAACACAUGCAAGUCGAACGAUGAACCACCUUCGGGUGGGGAUUAGUGGCGAACGGGUGAGUAACACGUGGGCAAUCUGCCCUUCACUCUGGGACAAGCCCUGGAAACGGGGUCUAAUACCGGAUACUGACCCGCCAAGGCAUCUUGGCGGGUCGAAAGCUCCGGCGGUGAAGGAUGAGCCCGCGGCCUAUCAGCUUGUUGGUGAGGUAAUGGCUCACCAAGGCGACGACGGGUAGCCGGCCUGAGAGGGCGACCGGCCACACUGGGACUG